This 342-nucleotide unclassified non-coding RNA is filed under the name soil metagenome. RNAcentral describes it as "partial contains 5.8S ribosomal RNA, internal transcribed spacer 2, and large subunit ribosomal RNA". The stretch from base 1 to 120 matches the Rfam family "5.8S ribosomal RNA", at positions 35 to 154 of the family's 154-position model. The record is from RNAcentral.
GAUGAAGAACGCAGCGAAAUGCGAUAAGUAAUGUGAAUUGCAGAAUUCAGUGAAUCAUCGAAUCUUUGAACGCACAUUGCGCCCGCCAGCAUUUUGGCGGGCAUGCCUGUUCGAGCGUCAUUUCAACCCUCGAGCCCCCCCGGGGGCCUCGGUGUUGGGGGACGGCACACCAGCCGCCCCCGAAAUGCAGUGGCGACCUCGCCGCAGCCUCCCCUGCGUAGUAGCACACACCUCGCACCGGAGCGCGGAGACGGUCACGCCGUAAAACGCCCAACUUCUUAGAGUUGACCUCGGAUCAGGUAGGAAUACCCGCUGAACUUAAGCAUAUCAAUAAGCGGAGGA